AGAGUUUGAUCCUGGCUCAGAAUGAACGCUGGCGGCGUGCCUAACACAUGCAAGUCGUACGAGAAAUCCCGAGCUUGCUUGGGAGAGUAAAGUGGCGCACGGGUGAGUAACGCGUGGGUAACCCACCUUCGAAUCUGGGAUAACUCCGCGAAAGCGGUGCUAAUACCGGAUAAGACCACAGCCGUUUCGGCGGCAGAGGUAAAAGCUGACCUCUCCAUGGAAGUUAGCGUUCGAGGACGGGCCCGCGUCCUAUCAGCUUGUUGGUGGGGUAAUGGCCUACCAAGGCAGCGACGGGUAGCUGGUCUGAGAGGAUGAUCAGCCACACUGGAACUGGAACACGGUCCAGACUCCUACGGGAGGCAGCAGUGAGGAAUUUUGCGCAAUGGGGGAAACCCUGACGCAGCAACGCCGCGUGGGUGAAGAAGGCUUUCGGGUCGUAAAGCCCUGUCAGGUGGGAAGAACCGUUUCGAUACUAAUAAUGUCGAAGCCUGACGGUACCACCAGAGGAAGCACCGGCCAACUCCGUGCCAGCAGCCGCGGUAAUACGGAGGGUGCAAGCGUUGUUCGGAAUUAUUGGGCGUAAAGCGCACGCAGGCGGUUUGUUAAGCUAGAUGUGAAAGCCCCGGGCUCAACCUGGGAAUAGCAUUUAGAACUGGCAGACUAGAGUCUUGGAGAGGGGAGUGGAAUUUCUGGUGUAGCGGUGAAAUGCGUAGAUAUCAGAAGGAACAUCAGUGGCGAAGGCGACUCCCUGGCCAAAGACUGACGCUCAUGUGCGAAAGUGUGGGUAGCAAACAGGAUUAGAUACCCUGGUAGUCCACGCCCGUAAACGCUGUCUACUAGCUGUUUGUGGAUUUAAUCCGUGAGUAGCGAAGCUAACGCGAUAAGUAGCCCGCCUGGGGAGUACGGCAGCAAGGUUAAAACUCAAAUGAAUUGACGGGGGCCCGCACAAGCGGUGGAGCAUGUGGUUUAAUUCGAUGCAACGCGAAGAACCUUACCAGGUCUUGACAUCCUCGGAACUUGGCAGAGAUGCCUUGGUGCCUUCGGGAACCGAGUGACAGGUGCUGCAUGGCUGUCGUCAGCUCGUGUCGGGAGAUGUUGGGUUAAGUCCCGUAACGAGCGCAACCCUUGUCCUUAGUUGCCAGCGAGUAAUGUCGGGAACUCUAAGGAGACUGCCGGUGACAAACCGGAGGAAGGUGGGGACGACGUCAAGUCAUCAUGGCCCUUACGAGUAGGGCUACACACGGGCUACAAUGGCCGGUACAGAGGGCAGCGAAGUCGCGAGGCGGAGCAAAUCCCACAAAACCGUUCUUAGUCCGGAUUGGAGUCUGCAACUCGACUCCAUGAAGUUGGAAUCGCUAGUAAUCGUAGAUCAGAAUGCUACGGUGAAUACGUUCCCGGGCCUUGUACACACCGCCCGUCACACCAUGGGAGUGGGUUGCACCAGAAGUAGCUAGACUAACCUUCGGGAAGUCGGUUACCACGGUGUGAUUCACAACUGGGGUGAAGUCGUAACAAGGUAGCCGUAGGGGAACCUGCGGCUGGAUCACCUCCUU
Molecule: ribosomal RNA, 1553 nt
Filed under: uncultured prokaryote
Description: partial 16S ribosomal RNA
Rfam family: Bacterial small subunit ribosomal RNA
Source: RNAcentral